AUUAUUGAAAUAAACCUGAUGAGUUGUUGCUGGCUCUCUAGAGAGCAUUGUGCACGCUUGUCAUCUUUAUGUCUCCACCUGUGCACAUUUUGUAAACCUGGAUCACUCUCUGAAAUGCUAAUCAGCACUUUAGGUUGGAGGAAUUUGACUUUGUUGUCUUUCCUUGCAUUUCUAGGUCUAUGUUCUUUUUCAUAUAAUCUUAUUGUGAUAUAAUGGACCCUAUAUAAUAUAAACCUAUACAACUUUCAGCAACGGAUCUCUUGGCCUCUCCGCAUCNCAUGGAAGAACCGCAAUGCGAUAAGUAAUGUGAAUUGCAGAAUUCAGUGAAUCAUCGAAUCUUUGAACGCACCUUGCGCUCCUUGGUAUUCCGAGGAGCAUGCCUGUUUGAGUGUCAUUAAUAUAUCAACCUCUUUAAAUUUUGAGAGUGUUUGGANGUGGGGGGUGUUAUUUUGCUGGCCUUUCUCCAAGGUCAGCUCCCCUGAAAUGUAUUAGCGGAACAAUUUGUUGACCGUUCAUUGGUGUGAUAGCAUAUCUACGCUAUUGACGUGAAGCAAGUUCAGCUUAUAACAGUCCAUUGACUUGGACAAUUCUCUAUUUAUUAAUGUGACCUCAAAUCAGGUAGGACUACCCGCUGAACUUAA
Molecule: ribosomal RNA, 641 nt
Filed under: Cortinarius trivialis
Lineage: Eukaryota; Fungi; Basidiomycota; Agaricomycetes; Agaricales; Cortinariaceae
Description: eukaryotic LSU rRNA
Rfam family: 5.8S ribosomal RNA (bases 241-394)
Source: RNAcentral